This 465-nucleotide ribosomal RNA is filed under the name Vreelandella stevensii. RNAcentral's name for it is "partial 16S ribosomal RNA". It matches the Rfam family "Bacterial small subunit ribosomal RNA", at positions 338 to 795 of the family's 1533-position model. The record is from RNAcentral. Lineage: Bacteria; Pseudomonadati; Pseudomonadota; Gammaproteobacteria; Oceanospirillales; Halomonadaceae.
CCUACGGGCGGCAGCAGUGGGGAAUAUUGGACAAUGGGGGCAACCCUGAUCCAGCCAUGCCGCGUGUGUGAAGAAGGCCCUCGGGUUGUAAAGCACUUUCAGUGAGGAAGAACGCCUGGUGGUUAAUACCCAUCAGGAAAGACAUCACUCACAGAAGAAGCACCGGCUAACUCCGUGCCAGCAGCCGCGGUAAUACGGAGGGUGCGAGCGUUAAUCGGAAUUACUGGGCGUAAAGCGCGCGUAGGUGGCUUGAUAAGCCGGUUGUGAAAGCCCCGGGCUCAACCUGGGAACGGCAUCCGGAACUGUCAAGCUAGAGUGCAGGAGAGGAAGGUAGAAUUCCCGGUGUAGCGGUGAAAUGCGUAGAGAUCGGGAGGAAUACCAGUGGCGAAGGCGGCCUUCUGGACUGACACUGACACUGAGGUGCGAACGCGUGGGUAGCAAACAGGAUUAGAUACCCUUGUAGUC